RNAcentral lists this long non-coding RNA (253 nucleotides) under Mytilus galloprovincialis (Mediterranean mussel). The record is from RNAcentral. Lineage: Eukaryota; Metazoa; Mollusca; Bivalvia; Mytilida; Mytilidae.
GCAGAUUUGUUUUUAUAUUCCUAUGAAGCAGAAUUUAUCCAAGGGCUUGUACAGAAAGGAGAAAAGAAAUUAGUCCAGUCUUUUAAUUUCAUUUUUCGGUAUAUUGAUGAUGUACUGUCUCUUAAUAAUAAUAGAUUCAGUGAUCAGUUACGUUUAAUAUAUCCAAGUGAACUUGAAAUUAAAGAUACUACCGACACAGAUAAAUCUGCUUCAUAUUUAGACCUUUUUCUCGAAAUGACUACUGAUGGUAGGU